Molecule: ribosomal RNA, 375 nt
Filed under: uncultured bacterium
Lineage: Bacteria
Description: bacterial SSU rRNA
Rfam family: Bacterial small subunit ribosomal RNA
Source: RNAcentral
UACGUAGGUGGCAAGCGUUGUCCGGAAUUAUUGGGCGUAAAGAGCAUGUAGGUGGAUACUUAAGUCUGUUGUGAAAAUGCGGGGCUCAACCCCGUAUUGCGAUGGAAACUGGGUGUCUUGAGUGCAGGAGAGGAAAGGGGAAUUCCCAGUGUAGCGGUGAAAUGCGUAGAUAUUGGGAGGAACACCAGUGGCGAAGGCGCCUUUCUGGACUGUGUCUGACACUGAGAUGCGAAAGCUAGGGGAGCGAACGGGAUUAGAUACCCCGGUAGUCCUAGCCGUAAACGAUGGGUACUAGGUGUAGGGGGUAUCGACCCCCCCUGUGCCGGAGUUAACGCAAUAAGUACCCCGCCUGGGGAGUACGGCCGCAAGGUUGAA